UACGUAGGGUGCAAGCGUUAAUCGGAAUUACUGGGCGUAAAGCGUGCGCAGGCGGUCCGUUAAGACAGAUGUGAAAUCCCCGGGCUUAACCUGGGAACUGCAUUUGAGACUGCGUAGCUAGGGUGCGGAAGAGGGAAGCGGAAUUUCCGGUGUAGCGGUGAAAUGCGUAGAUAUCGGAAGGAACACCAGUGGCGAAAGCGGCUUCCUGGUCCAGCACCGACGUUCAGGCACGAAAGCGUGGGGAGCAAACAGG
This 253-nucleotide ribosomal RNA is filed under the name uncultured bacterium. RNAcentral's name for it is "partial 16S ribosomal RNA". It matches the Rfam family "Bacterial small subunit ribosomal RNA", at positions 524 to 776 of the family's 1533-position model. The record is from RNAcentral.